This 413-nucleotide ribosomal RNA is filed under the name uncultured Pseudomonas sp. RNAcentral's name for it is "bacterial SSU rRNA". It matches the Rfam family "Bacterial small subunit ribosomal RNA", at positions 971 to 1382 of the family's 1533-position model. Lineage: Bacteria; Pseudomonadati; Pseudomonadota; Gammaproteobacteria; Pseudomonadales; Pseudomonadaceae. The record is from RNAcentral.
UUACCAGGCCUUGACAUGCAGAGAACUUUCCAGAGAUGGAUUGGUGCCUUCGGGAACUCUGACACAGGUGCUGCAUGGCUGUCGUCAGCUCGUGUCGUGAGAUGUUGGGUUAAGUCCCGUAACGAGCGCAACCCUUGUCCUUAGUUACCAGCACGUUAUGGUGGGCACUCUAAGGAGACUGCCGGUGACAAACCGGAGGAAGGUAGGGAUGACGUCAAGUCAUCAUGGCCCUUACGGCCUGGGCUACACACGUGCUACAAUGGUCGGUACAAAGGGUUGGCCAAGCCGCGAGGUGGAGCUAAUCCCAUAAAACCGAUCGUAGUCCGGAUCGCAGUCUGCAACUCGACUGCGUGAAGUCGGAAUCGCUAGUAAUCGUGGAUCAGCAUGCCACGGUGAAUACGUUCCCGGGCCUU